RNAcentral lists this long non-coding RNA (763 nucleotides) under Mytilus galloprovincialis (Mediterranean mussel). Lineage: Eukaryota; Metazoa; Mollusca; Bivalvia; Mytilida; Mytilidae. The record is from RNAcentral.
UUCUGCCACAUUUUCAUUCAUGGAUCUUUAUAUUGUUUUGUGAUACAUGUAGUAGAACCUUGAUCUCAUAGAUUCUUAUUAUUAAGCUGAAAUAAUGAUCAGUAAGGCAGGAAAGACAUGUCAGUUUGAACUCUCUUGUGGAAAAACAUGUUAUAGUAGCACAGCUAAAUAUUGUACAUUUUUUUUAUGCCCAAGCCGAAGCGGAGGGGGAUUAAGUUUUACCCUUGUCCGUCUGUAUGUCUGGAAAUAAGUUAUCUUUCUCUAACUUAAGUUUGCCUAAACCAAUUGUUUUAAAAAUUAUUCACAAUACUUAUUAUCAAAAAACACAGAUCAAAUUUUUGGGUGGCAUUACUUUCACCUUUCAAUAGUUAUGCCGUUUACAACUGGAAAAAUUGCUGAAUUUUCGUUUCUGUUCUCCUUAUAAACCAAAUGUUAUGAAACUUAUACACAAUGGUAUUACCACAACUCGCAGAUCAAGUAUUAAUUUGGGUAGCAUCACUUUUAUUGUUCUUGAGUUAUGUCCUUUUAUAACUUUAUAAGCAAGCGGGGGCAUCAUUUCUGUCCCAUGGACACAUUCCAUUUAUUUAACUUACAUUUAACAUCUUCAGAAAUUUAAGGUUUAGAGGUGCAUUUUUUUUCUGGAGUUUUGGAAGCCAGACCUAGUCAAGUGUAACAAGAAUCUGAAGUCGGGUAAAAGUUUGAAGACAGAGCAUUUGUUAAAAUGAUAAUUUAAAACAAAUGUUUGUUUAAAUAUUGGUACUGG